Long non-coding RNA from Canis lupus familiaris (dog), 520 nucleotides. RefSeq lists it as uncharacterized. NCBI's taxonomy places the organism in Eukaryota, Metazoa, Chordata, Mammalia, Carnivora, Canidae. The record is from RefSeq and is a predicted model, not a curated record. The transcript has 3 exons.
AGAGAAGAACUACAGAAACUAGGAGAAAAAACUUCUUGGAUCCCUUGGCUUCCAGUCUCACUUUGCCAAUCAAGGAGCAAAGUCUAACAAGGAUGUCCGGGACUCCAAAGCCCGUCUGCCAGCAUUGCUCAGCUAGCUGAAUGCAAGACAUUACCCACCAGCUCUGAAAAAAACCCUGCCUGAUGCUGAAGCCAAGACAGAAGAAGGUGGCUCUCAGGGCUGGAGACAGUAUCGUGACAAUAUCUUUGGGGCAUCUGGAAAUAGAUGAGUCUAAAACUUCACCUUUUCCACCCUAAAGAAUCAAGAUGUUCUUUCGUGUGGCAGCUACCAUCUUUGUAUUGCCAACUCAGGGCUUCAAUCCAUAGUCCAAGAAAGGCGGUGACCUGUUUCUCUAAAAAUUUCCAUCACAAUGAUCUUGUGAAGCUCUUAGUCUCUAAGGAAAUCCCUUGCCCAUCUCAUUCCCAGGCAGAGCACAAGUCAGAAAAACCAAGCAACAAACUUCUCCCCUUAGAAAAACACU